CCCCCAUCCCGGCGGGAGCCUCGCCUCUUCCUGCCACUCCAGUACAGCUCCCGUCUCCGCCUUUGGCACCGCAUUGCUUCUACUGUCCUGCUCUUAGCUGUAUUUUAGGCGGACGUGGAAACAAAGACCCAUAGUUGGACUUUUAUUUUGGGUUCUGUGGCCCACAAGCACUGAGGAAUAGGCUUGGCAGUGGAAGCAGGCACGGGAGACGCAGUGCGCUUCGCGGAAGCUGUCCCGCCCCCUGGCUCAACGUCGGCUCCCACGCACUACAAUUCCCAGCAUGCCAUUCGAGCAAGAGCGGAGGCGGAACCGGAGUGUCGUCAUAGCAACUGAAUCAACUACCUCGCGGAGACUUCUCAAGGACCUCGUAGCAAGAAGGAAGACACGAGCCUGGAGAUGCCAGAGGCUGCCGCAUGAAUCUUAAGAAUGAAGCUGACACAGCAGAAGGCUGAGCCAAGAAACUAAGAGAAAUUGAAUUUUUAUUACAUUUUUGGAGCUCCUGGAUGAAGCCACUCAUGACACUAAACAGCCCCAAGGCUUUUCCACUACGUGAAUAAAUAAAUCUUCUUUCCUAUUUAA
Molecule: long non-coding RNA, 579 nt
Organism: Panthera uncia (snow leopard)
Lineage: Eukaryota; Metazoa; Chordata; Mammalia; Carnivora; Felidae
Exons: 2
Source: RefSeq, a predicted model, not a curated record